Molecule: ribosomal RNA, 253 nt
Filed under: uncultured bacterium
Lineage: Bacteria
Description: partial 16S ribosomal RNA
Rfam family: Bacterial small subunit ribosomal RNA
Source: RNAcentral
UACGUAGGGGGCAAGCGUUAUCCGGAUUUACUGGGUGUAAAGGGAGCGUAGGCGGUGCAGCAAGUCAGAAGUGAAAGCCCGGGGCUCAACUCCGGGACUGCUUUUGAAACUGUUGAACUAGAUUGCAGGAGAGGUAAGUGGAAUUCCUAGUGUAGCGGUGAAAUGCGUAGAUAUUAGGAGGAACACCAGUGGCGAAGGCGGCUUACUGGACAGUAAAUGACGCUGAGGCUCGAAAGCGUGGGGAGCAAACAGG